GAUGAAGAACGCAGCGAAAUGCGAUACUUGGUGUGAAUUGCAGAAUCCCGUGAACCAUCGAGUCUUUGAACGCAAGUUGCGCCCGAAGCCAUUAGGCCGAGGGCACGCCUGCCUGGGCGUCACACGUCGUUGCCCCCCCCAUCUACUCCUUCGGGAUUGCGGGGGGCGGAUGAUGGCCUCCCGUGCGCCUCGCCGCGCGGUUGGCAUAAAUGCCAAGUCCUCGGCGACGCACGCCACGACAAUCGGUGGUUGCGAAACCUCGGUUGCCCGUCGUGUGCGGUCGUCGCGCAUCGAGGGCUCGAAAAAAUUGCCGAGUUCCGGCUCGGCUUUCAACGCGACCCCAGGUCAGGCGGGGUUACCCGCUGAAUCUAAGCAUAUCAAUAAGCGGAGGA
Molecule: unclassified non-coding RNA, 392 nt
Filed under: soil metagenome
Description: partial contains 5.8S ribosomal RNA, internal transcribed spacer 2, and large subunit ribosomal RNA
Rfam family: 5.8S ribosomal RNA (bases 1-122)
Source: RNAcentral